GAAAUGCGAUAAGUAAUGUGAAUUGCAGAAUUCAGUGAAUCAUCGAAUCUUUGAACGCACAUUGCGCCCGCCAGCACUCUGGCGUGCAUGCCUGUUCGAGCGUCAUUUCAACCAUCACGCCCCCGGGCUUGCGUUGGGGACCUGCGGCUGCCCGCAGGCCCUGAAAACCAGUGGCGGGCUUGCUGUCACCCCGGUCGUAGGAGUAUCAUCUCGUCACGUGCGUGGCUACGGGCUCCGGCCGUUAAACCUUGUCAAACCCAAAGGUUGACCUCAGAUCAGGUAGGAAUACCCGCUGAACUUAA
RNAcentral lists this unclassified non-coding RNA (302 nucleotides) under uncultured Sordariomycetes. Its description in RNAcentral is "sequence contains ITS1". The stretch from base 1 to 105 matches the Rfam family "5.8S ribosomal RNA", at positions 50 to 154 of the family's 154-position model. The record is from RNAcentral. Lineage: Eukaryota; Fungi; Ascomycota; Sordariomycetes.